UACAGAGGGGGCAAGCGUUAUUCGGAAUUAUUGGGCGUAAAGGGCGCGUAGGCGGCUUGGCAAGUGGAAGGUGCAAUCCCUCGGCUUAACCGAGGAACUGCCCUCCAAACUGCUUUGCUUGAGGCCGGGAGAGGCGAGUGGAAUUCCCAGUGUAGCGGUGAAAUGCGUAGAUAUUGGGAGGAACACCAGUGGCGAAGGCGGCUCGCUGGACCGGUUCUGACGCUGAGGCGCGAAAGCGUGGGGAGCAAACGGG
This 253-nucleotide ribosomal RNA is filed under the name uncultured bacterium. Its description in RNAcentral is "partial 16S ribosomal RNA". It matches the Rfam family "Bacterial small subunit ribosomal RNA", at positions 524 to 776 of the family's 1533-position model. The record is from RNAcentral.